Oncorhynchus keta (chum salmon) is the source of this 1171-nucleotide long non-coding RNA. RefSeq lists it as uncharacterized. The record is from RefSeq and is a predicted model, not a curated record. Lineage: Eukaryota; Metazoa; Chordata; Actinopteri; Salmoniformes; Salmonidae. The transcript is spliced from 4 exons.
CAGAGCUAGAGGGAAGAGAAGAGGAAGAGAGUUAGAGAAGAACACAGGUGAGUUAUACUGUUGAUAUAGAGAAGAACACAGGUGAGUUAUACUGUUGAUAUAGAGAAGAACACAGGUGAGUUAUACUGUUGAUAUAGAGAAGAACACAGGUGAGUUAUACUGUUGAUAUAGAGAAGAACACAGGUGAGUUAUACUGUUGAUAUAGAGAAGAACACAGGUGAGUUAUACUGUUGAUAUAGAGAAGAACACAGGUGAGUUAUACUGUUGAUAUAGAGAAGAACACAGGUGAGUUAUACUGUUGAUAUAGAGAAGAACACAGGUGAGUUAUACUGUUGAUAUAGAGAAGAACACAGGUGAGUUAUACUGUUGAUAUAGAGAAGAACACAGGUGAGUUAUACUGUUGAUAUAGAGAAGAACACAGGUGAGUUAUACUGUUGAUAUAGAGAAGAACACAGGUGAGUUAUACUGUUGAUAUAGAGAAGAACACAGGUGAGAUAUACUGUUGAUAUAGAGAAGAACACAGGUGAGUUAUACUGUUGAUAUAGAGAAGAACACAGGUGAGUUAUACUGUUGAUAUAGAGAAGAACACAGGUGAGUUAUACUGUUGAUAUAGAGAAGAACACAGGUGAGAUAUACUGUUGAUAUAGAGAAGAACACAGGUGAGUUAUACUGUUGAUAUAGAGAAGAACACAGGUGAGUUAUACUGUUGAUAUAGAGAAGAACACAGGUGAGUUAUACUGUUGAUAUAGAGAAGAACACAGGUGAGUUAUACUGUUGAUAUAGAGAAGAACACAGGUGAGUUAUACUGUUGAUAUAGAGAAGAACACAGGUGAGUUAUACUGUUGAUAUAGAGAAGAACACAGGUGAGUUAUACUGUUGAUAUAGAGAAGAACACAGGUGAGUUAUACUGUUGAUAUAGAGAAGAACACAGGUGAGUUAUACUGUUGAUAUAGAGAAGAACACAGGUGAGUUAUACUGUUGAUAUAGAGAAGAACACAGGUGAGUUAUACUGUUGAUGUAUAAACAGUCAAAUGUGUUGUUAAGUGUUAGAAACACCUGACAUUGUCUCAUUUAAUUGCUAGAAUUUAGUUGUAUUUAAUUUAAUUUAACAUCUCUCACUGUUCUCUCCCCCCUCCUUCUCCUCAUUGUCGGUGCUGUUGAGUUUGAGUCG